This 744-nucleotide long non-coding RNA is filed under the name Fukomys damarensis (Damara mole-rat). RNAcentral describes it as "lncRNA (ENSFDAG00000022393.1)". The record is from RNAcentral. Lineage: Eukaryota; Metazoa; Chordata; Mammalia; Rodentia; Bathyergidae.
GUGGCGGUAUCCCUUUAAGAGCCAUUUGGUACAAUUCAUAGCUUGAUUCGUGUCACCAGCUGCCUCUGAUUUCAGGAAGAAAUGCAGAAAUUUACAGGGAACUAUAAAAUGGGGACAGGUUUUUAGUUUUCUAAAUUGAGGUUUAACUGGCAAACUUCUGAAGGUUUAAGAAACCAUAAAGCUGGACGGUGGAAAGCUGGUUUCUUUUUCCGGUCAGAACAAAUAAACACACAAACACACAUCUAACUCUCAAAGUAUCUGGAGAGAGAAAUCAAUGCUCUUUGCAGAGGGGAGAAUGAAAAAGCAGCUUUGCGGGCACCAGGAGGACAGCCACAUUGGCCAGCAGGCAGCGAGCACGCUGUCCUGGCAGAAGGCGAAAUCUGAGCUUCAGCAGCGACGGGAGCAGAAUUUGCACAAACUCUCCUGUUUCAAGUUGCACGUCUCCGGAGUCCCAGGAAAGGCACCCAGCAUGGCCACAGCUCCCUUUGCAGAGCCCCAAGGGUUGCCGAGAAACACCACAACCUCCCACAAGACGCGCAGGUAUUUUCUGAUGACAACUGUUAUUAUCUCUACUGUCAAAAUAAGAUGAUGAGGCGUCAAAUACUGAGGAACCCAGAGGUUGAUUCAUCGCAAACCUACACUUUGUAAGUGAACCUUUUAAUUCUCUUCUAUUUCUGUCUCUUAAAAUACUUUCUUUCAAAAAUAGUGUUUUCCUGAUUUCAAGAUGGAAUGAUUGGAGAAGAG